AAUCAACGCUGGCGGCGUGCCUAACACAUGCAAGUCGCACGAGAAAGGGGACUUCGGUUCCUGAGUACAGUGGCGCACGGGUGAGUAACACGUGAAUCAUCUACCUUCGAGUGGGGAAUAACUGAGAGAAAUCUUAGCUAAUACCGCAUAAUACCUACGGGUCAAAGCAGCAAUGCGCUUGAAGAGGAGUUCGCGGCAGAUUAGUUAGUUGGCAGGGUAAGGCCUACCAAGACGAUGAUCUGUAUCCGGCCUGAGAGGGCGCACGGACACACUGGAACUGAAACACGGUCCAGACUCCUACGGGAGGCAGCAGUGGGGAAUUUUGCGCAAGUGGGGGAAACCCUGACGCAGCAACGCCGCGUGGAGGAUGAAAUCCCUUGGGAUGUAAACUCCUUUCGAUCGGGAAGAUAAUGACGGUACCGAGAGAAGAA
Molecule: ribosomal RNA, 431 nt
Filed under: uncultured bacterium
Lineage: Bacteria
Description: bacterial SSU rRNA
Rfam family: Bacterial small subunit ribosomal RNA
Source: RNAcentral